AGCGAGUCGGGAACGCACCGGAAUUGUCCGGAAUUGCAGGCGCAUUGACUGUAAAUCUGCCCGGGUUUCCCGUACGCUGGUUCGAAUCCAGCCCUGUCCACCA
RNAcentral lists this transfer RNA (103 nucleotides) under Sphingomonas japonica. Its description in RNAcentral is "tRNA-Tyr". The record is from RNAcentral. Lineage: Bacteria; Pseudomonadati; Pseudomonadota; Alphaproteobacteria; Sphingomonadales; Sphingomonadaceae.